Molecule: transfer RNA, 67 nt
Filed under: Bavayia robusta
Lineage: Eukaryota; Metazoa; Chordata; Lepidosauria; Squamata; Diplodactylidae
Description: tRNA-Arg
Source: RNAcentral
UAACGGUUAGUCUAAUAUAAGACCUCUAGUUUCGACCUAGAAAACCUCAGUAUUUUGAGACCAUUAA